This 865-nucleotide long non-coding RNA is filed under the name Homo sapiens (human). RNAcentral's name for it is "HSALNT0320700". Lineage: Eukaryota; Metazoa; Chordata; Mammalia; Primates; Hominidae. The record is from RNAcentral.
GCAGGCUCUCCAACGCUGACACGCGCCCCGGGUGGAGCCGCGAACGCUGUCGCCAUUUUCCCCUGGGCCCGGGCUCCCACUAGGUGUGUUCUAGAACAGAUACAGGUUGCUAGCACCGUCCACUAGCUGUUCCCAACAUCGGUUACAAAUCUCCGCGAGGGACAAAAACAUCUGUUCAGUCAGAGACUGGGGAAGUCAAGACUGCGGGUGCCGCACUGCGGGGAUGCACAAAUCCGGAGCUGAGUCAGAGAGAGCCCCUUGCCCCCUCCCGCUGCGGUCGGCGGUGGCAAAAGAUUUUCGAGAUAGCAGGUAGUACAUGCACAUGGAGAAAAGAAAUUCAAGCAGGACAAGAGUGCACAAGCAAGAAGACCCAGACAGAGAAGUUUCCCGAGUCAUCCACAUCGCUGACGAUUUCUGACUUGGUGGUUUCUCAUCGCACCUCCUCAGCACUUCGCCCGGCGGUUUCCGGGGAGAACGGCGGCCUUCCCUGCCGGGUUCUAGGCGAGCGUAACCAGCUCUUUGUGACUUCCGAAGUGAGGCUUCCUGGUAUCAAACACUCAUUAUUGACUACCUUGAGAUCUAAUAUGGUUGGAGGUAUAUGGAGGGGGGCUCAUUUUUCUUUUCAUUUCCCGAUUCCAUUCACAGUUAACGUUACCGACGGUUAAUAAAAUGUAGCUUGUGACUGUAAUAUGGGGACGGAGAGGUCCCAAUAAAUGUCAAAAGAUAUAAGACAAAAAAGUAUCUUGCGACUGUACGCGGGACUGCAUUGCUCCCAGUUUUGGCUAUAGAUGCACUAAAAGAACCUGUUAACACACACCAAAGUGCAUCCUUAUAAUAACCUCCUCAAUCAUUUAUUAAAAGUCGU